This 204-nucleotide long non-coding RNA is filed under the name Physcomitrium patens. RNAcentral describes it as "long non-coding RNA (PPAT_LNC007037)". Lineage: Eukaryota; Viridiplantae; Streptophyta; Bryopsida; Funariales; Funariaceae. The record is from RNAcentral.
AAGUCAGUGUUAUAUUAGUGAAUUGGAUUUUUUCAUAAGAGAGGAAAGGCUGGUACUCUUGAUUAUUGAUGGAAUGGGAGAUACUUCUAUGGUUGAAAUUCAAAGUUGUCUAGAAGGUUGAGUUUGCUGAAUUUAUGCGUGGUUGUGUUAAUCUGACUGUACGAAUAGAGGAUAUCUGCCAACAGUUUAAAGAAGUAUUGGGAG